GACCAUGUAGCUCAAAUGGAUAGAGCACCAGCCUCCUAAGCUGGGUGUUGACGGUUCAAACCCGUUCUUGGUCG
RNAcentral lists this transfer RNA (74 nucleotides) under Mycoplasma crocodyli MP145. It matches the Rfam family "tRNA". From Rfam's summary of the family: Transfer RNA (tRNA) molecules are approximately 80 nucleotides in length. Their secondary structure includes four short double-helical elements and three loops (D, anti-codon, and T loops). Further hydrogen bonds mediate the characteristic L-shaped molecular structure. tRNAs have two regions of fundamental functional importance: the anti-codon, which is responsible for specific mRNA codon recognition, and the 3' end, to which the tRNAs corresponding amino acid is attached (by aminoacyl-tRNA synthetases). tRNAs cope with the degeneracy of the genetic code in two manners: having more than one tRNA (with a specific anti-codon) for a particular amino acid; and 'wobble' base-pairing, i.e. permitting non-standard base-pairing at the 3rd anti-codon position. Lineage: Bacteria; Bacillati; Mycoplasmatota; Mollicutes; Mycoplasmatales; Mycoplasmataceae. The record is from Rfam by way of RNAcentral.